RNAcentral lists this ribosomal RNA (480 nucleotides) under uncultured bacterium. RNAcentral describes it as "partial 16S ribosomal RNA". It matches the Rfam family "Bacterial small subunit ribosomal RNA", at positions 28 to 506 of the family's 1533-position model. The record is from RNAcentral.
GAUGAACGCUGGCGGCGUGCUUAACACAUGCAAGUCGAACGAAGCACUUUAUUUGAUUUCCUUCGGGACUGAUUAUUUUGUGACUGAGUGGCGGACGGGUGAGUAACGCGUGGGUAACCUGCCUUGUACAGGGGGAUAACAGUUGGAAACGGCUGCUAAUACCGCAUAAGCGCACAGCAUCGCAUGAUGCAGUGUGAAAAACUCCGGUGGUAUAAGAUGGACCCGCGUUGGAUUAGCUAGUUGGUGAGGUAACGGCCCACCAAGGCGACGAUCCAUAGCCGACCUGGGAGGGGGCCCGGCCACAUUGGGACUGAGACACGGCCCAAACUCCCACGGGAGGCAGCAGUGGGGAAUAUGGCAAAAGGGGCGAAAGCCUGAUGCAGCGACGCCGGGUGAGCGAAAAAGUAUUUCGGUAUGUAAAGCUCUAUCAGCAGGGAAGAUAAUGACGGUACCUGACUAAGAAGCACCGGCUAAAUACGG